UUCUAAAAUGACAGAUAAAUGUAUAGGAUUUAAGCUCCUACAAAGAAGAUUUUAUCUUCUUUUAGA
This 66-nucleotide transfer RNA is filed under the name Geocharax gracilis. RNAcentral's name for it is "tRNA-Leu". The record is from RNAcentral. Lineage: Eukaryota; Metazoa; Arthropoda; Malacostraca; Decapoda; Parastacidae.